GGUCGCUUAGCUCAGUUGGUUAGAGCGUGGUGCUAAUAUCUUCUCUGUUCAUUCAGAGACAUAUGUGACGCCAAGGUCGGCGGUUCGACCCCGCCAGUGAUCA
Non-coding RNA from Ciborinia camelliae, 103 nucleotides. Lineage: Eukaryota; Fungi; Ascomycota; Leotiomycetes; Helotiales; Sclerotiniaceae. The record is from the annotation of a GenBank genome assembly.